This 671-nucleotide long non-coding RNA is filed under the name Vitis vinifera (wine grape). Its description in RNAcentral is "long non-coding RNA (VVIN_LNC005474)". Lineage: Eukaryota; Viridiplantae; Streptophyta; Magnoliopsida; Vitales; Vitaceae. The record is from RNAcentral.
CCGAGAACUGUGUUGACCAGCUUCUCCCGUCCAAAAAGGCGAAAAUCCUUGGCUCUGAUGGAAGACGGCGAGAAUGGCACCCGCGAGAUUAUCCAAAAAUGAUGCUUCCACCUUCCUCAAGGAUGAAUCAAUUAAACACAACUUUCAUCUAGAGAGAGCUUCCUCCCAAUCCCGGAAGAAAAAAAAAAUCCCAUUCUCCUGUUUUUAUAUAUAUAUUUUUAUUCUCUCACCCAGAUACUCUUUUCAAACAUCCCUCUGUAAGACCUUUUUCCUUUCCUUUUUCUUCCAUCUUCAUUUUCUAUUGUUUGGUUUGCUCAGGUGGGGUAGAAAAGAAAAAAAAAAUUGGGAAUAUUUGUAGCAUAAAUAGGUAGCGAAAAUCCCAUCUUACAGUCACGUUAACUUGCCUCUCAAUAUUGAAACAUUGAAACCAAUAUUUUAUCUCAUGCACCAGUAUGCGAAAUAUCAGUUCUUGGACAAAUAAUAACAUAACAGAAUCAUGAGAAUAUGUAUAGCGAGAUGAAAUAAAACAUGAAAACUGAUUUCGAAAGCAUAGCAUUCACUAACCUGUUCGUUGUCCACCCUAAAAUGGCUCCUAAUGGUGUCCUCUGUUUUUUCCCCUAGAUCAAAAUCUCUCUCUGUUCUCCUUUUUCUCAGCCGUUCCCUCUCCUCCU